UACGAAGGGGGCUAGCGUUGCUCGUAAUCACUGGGCGUAAAGCGCACGUAGGCGGACUCUUAAGUCGGUGGUGAAAUCCUGGAGCUCAACUCCAGAACUGCCUUCGAUACUGAGAGUCUCGAGUCCGAGAGAGGUGAGUGGAACUGCGAGUGUAGAGGUGAAAUUCGUAGAUAUUCGCAAGAACACCAGUGGCGAAGGCGGCUCACUGGCUCGGUACUGACGCUGAGGUGCGAAAGCGUGGGGAGCAAACAGG
This 253-nucleotide ribosomal RNA is filed under the name uncultured bacterium. Its description in RNAcentral is "partial 16S ribosomal RNA". It matches the Rfam family "Bacterial small subunit ribosomal RNA", at positions 524 to 776 of the family's 1533-position model. The record is from RNAcentral.